Molecule: long non-coding RNA, 440 nt
Filed under: Danio rerio (zebrafish)
Lineage: Eukaryota; Metazoa; Chordata; Actinopteri; Cypriniformes; Danionidae
Description: si:dkey-65j6.3 (ENSDARG00000096947.2)
Source: RNAcentral
CUGGAGUGAAGCAAUGAUGAAACUGAUGACCUUCGACGUCCUGUGGAGCAGACGCUGGGAGACAUCGAGCCCCGCCCUGAAGAAGAAGAUGAUUGGCUGCCUGCAGUUGAUGUGGUGCUGCCAGAGCCAAUGGAAUCUGGCCGUGGUAAAGCCCCGCCCCUCUGAAGGCCAGACACCAGAGGAUUGGGUGUUUUCAGUAUUCCUACGAGUUCUGUCAGAAGAGAAAAGUCACAGAAAGUUCAGUGUGUGAUUGGCUGAUAAAUACCUCUUCCUGUGACAUCACCAUUCACAGUGUGAUUGACAGCUGCGUUUCUGGGCUGAAUGUCUACAAAAGGUUUGCAGCCGGUUCCCAUGAACAACCUCUCCUGUCUCCUCAACUCUGAAACACAAAAAUCAGCAAGUCUUGUCAAUCUGUGGAGAUAUAUCCUCAAACAAUUGUG